This 235-nucleotide ribosomal RNA is filed under the name uncultured bacterium. RNAcentral's name for it is "partial 16S ribosomal RNA". It matches the Rfam family "Bacterial small subunit ribosomal RNA", at positions 120 to 354 of the family's 1533-position model. The record is from RNAcentral.
AGUAACCUGCCUUGGAGUGGGGAAUAACAGUUGGAAACAGCUGCUAAUACCGCAUAAUAUGUCUGUGUCGCAUGGCACUGGGCAUCAAAGAUUUAUCGCUCUGAGAUGGACUCGCGUCUGAUUAGCUAGUUGGCGGGGUAACGGCCCACCAAGGCGACGAUCAGUAGCCGGACUGAGAGGUUGGCCGGCCACAUUGGGACUGAGACACGGCCCAGACUCCUACGGGAGGCAGCAG